Molecule: ribosomal RNA, 577 nt
Filed under: Rhodotorula mucilaginosa
Lineage: Eukaryota; Fungi; Basidiomycota; Microbotryomycetes; Sporidiobolales; Sporidiobolaceae
Description: eukaryotic LSU rRNA
Rfam family: 5.8S ribosomal RNA (bases 143-296)
Source: RNAcentral
GACGUCCACUUAACUUGGAGUCCGAACUCUCACUUUCUAACCCUGUGCACUUGUUUGGGAUAGUAACUCUCGCAAGAGAGCGAACUCCUAUUCACUUAUAAACACAAAGUCUAUGAAUGUAUUAAAUUUUAUAACAAAAUAAAACUUUCAACAACGGAUCUCUUGGCUCUCGCAUCGAUGAAGAACGCAGCGAAAUGCGAUAAGUAAUGUGAAUUGCAGAAUUCAGUGAAUCAUCGAAUCUUUGAACGCACCUUGCGCUCCAUGGUAUUCCGUGGAGCAUGCCUGUUUGAGUGUCAUGAAUACUUCAACCCUCCUCUUUCUUAAUGAUUGAAGAGGUGUUUGGUUUCUGAGCGCUGCUGGCCUUUACGGUCUAGCUCGUUCGUAAUGCAUUAGCAUCCGCAAUCGAACUUCGGAUUGACUUGGCGUAAUAGACUAUUCGCUGAGGAAUUCUAGUCUUCGGACUAGAGCCGGGUUGGGUUAAAGGAAGCUUCUAAUCAGAAUGUCUACAUUUUAAGAUUAGAUCUCAAAUCAGGUAGGACUACCCGCUGAACUUAAGCAUAUCAAUAAGNCGGAGGAA